Small nucleolar RNA from Puntigrus tetrazona (Sumatra barb), 134 nucleotides. The record is from RefSeq and is a predicted model, not a curated record. Lineage: Eukaryota; Metazoa; Chordata; Actinopteri; Cypriniformes; Cyprinidae.
AAGCACUGUAUUUGAACCUGUGGAGCCCCUUCAUGGCUCGAUGGGUCAAGCAACGGUGCUACAGUAAAAGAUUGUUAUAACUGGGGCGUCUUGGAUUUCCCACCAAGUUGCUCUUUUAAAAGCAGUCGACAACU